GACCGCUCCGGUGGACUAGUGGUUAGAACGUCCGCCUUAGAUGCGGGAGGUCGUGGUUUUGAUCCCCGGUCGAGUCA
Non-coding RNA from Potamilus streckersoni, 77 nucleotides. The record is from the annotation of a GenBank genome assembly. NCBI's taxonomy places the organism in Eukaryota, Metazoa, Mollusca, Bivalvia, Unionida, Unionidae.